CCUACGGGUGGCAGCAGUAGGGAAUAUUGCUCAAUGGGGGAAACCCUGAACCAGCAAAGCCGCGUGGAGGAUGAAGGCCUUCGGAUUGUAAACUCCUUUUUUUAGAGAAGCUAAUUACGGCAUCUAAGGAAUAAGCAACAGCUAACCCCGUCCCAGCAUCCGCUUUAAUACGGAGGGUGCAAGCGUUAUUCGGAAUCACUCGGCGUAAAGACCGCGUUGUCGGGUUAGCAAGUCACAUGUGAAAUCCUAUGACUUAAACAUAGGACUGCAUUUGAAACUGUUAGUCUAGAGUUGGGGAGAGGUAGGUGGAAUUCGUGGUGUAGCGGUAAAAUCCGUAGAUAUCAAGAAGAAUACUCAUUGCGAAGGCGGCCUACUAGAACAUAACUGACGCUGAUGCGCGAAAGCGUGGGGAGCAAACAGGAUUAGAUACCCGAGUAGUC
RNAcentral lists this ribosomal RNA (440 nucleotides) under uncultured bacterium. Its description in RNAcentral is "partial 16S ribosomal RNA". It matches the Rfam family "Bacterial small subunit ribosomal RNA", at positions 338 to 795 of the family's 1533-position model. The record is from RNAcentral.